UACGUAGGUGGCAAGCGUUGUCCGGAUUUAUUGGGCGUAAAGAGCUCGUAGGCGGUUCCGUAAGUCGUGAAGUCAAAUCUCUGGGCUCAACCCAGAAUCGCUUCCGAUACUGCGGUGACUGGAGUCCGGUAGGGGAGUGUGGAAUUCCUAGUGUAGCGGUGAAAUUCGUAGAUAUUAGGAAGAACACCAGUGGCGAAGGCGGCCAUCUGGCUCGGUACUGACGCUCAGGCUCGAAAGCGUGGGGAGCAAACAGG
Molecule: ribosomal RNA, 254 nt
Filed under: uncultured bacterium
Lineage: Bacteria
Description: partial 16S ribosomal RNA
Rfam family: Bacterial small subunit ribosomal RNA
Source: RNAcentral